AGUCGAGGGGUAUAUGUCUUCGGACAUAGAGACCGGCGCACGGGUGCGUAACGCGUAUGCAAUCUACCUUUUACAGGGGAAUAGCCCAGAGAAAUUUGGAUUAAUGCCCCAUAGUAUAUUUGAAUGGCAUCAUUUGAUUAUUAAAGUUCCAACGGUAAAAGAUGAGCAUGCGUCCCAUUAGUUAGUUGGUAAGGUAACGGCUUACCAAGACGAUGAUGGGUAGGGGUCCUGAGAGGGAGAUCCCCCACACUGGUACUGAGACACGGACCAGACUCCUACGGGAGGCAGCAGUGAGGAAUAUUGGUCAAUGGGCGCAAGCCUGAACCAGCCAUGCCGCGUGCAGGAUGACGGUCCUAUGGAUUGUAAACUGCUUUUAUACAGGAAGAAACACUCCCUCGUGAGGGAGCUUGACGGUACUGUAGGAAUAAGGAUCGGCUAACUCCGUGCCAGCAGCCGCGGUAAUACGGAGGAUCCAAGCGUUAUCCGGAAUCAUUGGGUUUAAAGGGUCCGUAGGCGGCCCAGUAAGUCAGUGGUGAAAUCUCCCGGCUCAACCGGGAAAUUGCCAUUGAUACUGCUGGGCUUGAAUUAUCAGGAAGUAACUAGAAUAUGUAGUGUAGCGGUGAAAUGCUUAGAGAUUACAUGGAAUACCAAUUGCGAAGGCAGGUUACUACUGGUGGAUUGACGCUGAUGGACGAAAGCGUGGGUAGCGAACAGGAUUAGAUACCCUGGUAGUCCACGCCGUAAACGAUGGAUACUAGCUGUUGGGUUGCA
This 771-nucleotide ribosomal RNA is filed under the name uncultured Bacteroidota bacterium. RNAcentral's name for it is "bacterial SSU rRNA". It matches the Rfam family "Bacterial small subunit ribosomal RNA", at positions 60 to 832 of the family's 1533-position model. Lineage: Bacteria; Pseudomonadati; Bacteroidota. The record is from RNAcentral.